Molecule: long non-coding RNA, 442 nt
Organism: Astatotilapia calliptera (eastern happy)
Lineage: Eukaryota; Metazoa; Chordata; Actinopteri; Cichliformes; Cichlidae
Source: Ensembl
GAAGAGAGGAUGUGAAAGGAAUGCAUUACGCCAGCAUGCUUGACGUCAGUCGGUCAACAUAACCCACAGAUGGCAGUCUGACAGAAAACCUGCUGGACAGCAGCAAAGACGCCUCCCCAAGGCUUGGAGCAAAGGGGCAACAAUAGGUGUUCAGAGCUGGAGAAAGCAUAAGAAGAAAAGGGUCACGGGCUACUGAAAAAACACAGAGCAGAAGACAAAAGAGGUAUCCAGCACUUGGUAAAGCAUACAGUCCCGAGGCAGCGUCUGAAAGCCUCAGCCUCCCCACUUGGUUGAAUAGAAGACAAACAAAGAGAAUUACACAACUGAACUUCGAGCAAGGAAACAAAGUGGUAGCCUGGAUCUUGAGGGAAUGUGACUGGAGGAGGGUGAAAUCUGCAAAUGGGAGUGAGACACAAGUGUUCACUAAGAGGUCUGGGCUGGA